CGGCGUGCUUAACACAUGCAAGUCGAACGGAAAGGCCCUGCUUUUGUGGGGUGCUCGAGUGGCGAACGGGUGAGUAACACGUGAGUAACCUGCCCUUGACUUUGGGAUAACUUCAGGAAACUGGGGCUAAUACCGGAUAGGAGCUCCUGCUGCAUGGUGGGGGUUGGAAAGUUUCGGCGGUUGGGGAUGGACUCGCGGCUUAUCAGCUUGUUGGUGGGGUAGUGGCUUACCAAGGCUUUGACGGGUAGCCGGCCUGAGAGGGUGACCGGCCACAUUGGGACUGAGAUACGGCCCAGACUCCUACGGGAGGCAGCAGUGGGGAAUAUUGCACAAUGGGCGGAAGCCUGAUGCAGCAACGCCGCGUGCGGGAUGACGGCCUUCGGGUUGUAAACCGCUUUCGCCUGUGACGAAGCGUGAGUGACGGUAAUGGGUAAAGAAGCACCGGCUAACUACGUGCCAGCAGCCGCGGUGAUACGUAGGGUGCGAGCGUUGUCCGGAUUUAUUGGGCGUAAAGGGCUCGUAGGUGGUUGAUCGCGUCGGAAGUGUAAUCUUGGGGCUUAACCCUGAGCGUGCUUUCGAUACGGGUUGACUUGAGGAAGGUAGGGGAGAAUGGAAUUCCUGGUGGAGCGGUGGAAUGCGCAGAUAUCAGGAGGAACACCAGUGGCGAAGGCGGUUCUCUGGGCCUUUCCUGACGCUGAGGAGCGAAAGCGUGGGGAGCGAACAGGCUUAGAUACCCUGGUAGUCCACGCUGUAAACGGUGGGUACUAGGUGUGGGGUCCAUUCCACGGGUUCCGUGCCGUAGCUAACGCUUUAAGUACCCCGCCUGGGGAGUACGGCCGCAAGGCUAAAACUCAAAGGAAUUGACGGGGCCCCGCACAAGCGGCGGAGCAUGCGGAUUAAUUCGAUGCAACGCGUAGAACCUUACCUGGGUUUGACAUGGAUCGGGAGUGCUCAGAGAUGGGUGUGCCUCUUUUGGGGUCGGUUCACAGGUGGUGCAUGGCUGUCGUCAGCUCGUGUCGUGAGAUGUUGGGUUAAGUCCCGCAACGAGCGCAACCCUUGUUCACUGUUGCCAGCACGUUAUGGUGGGGACUCAGUGGAGACCGCCGGGGUCAACUCGGAGGAAGGUGGGGAUGACGUCAAGUCAUCAUGCCCCUUAUGUCCAGGGCUUCACGCAUGCUACAAUGGCUGGUACAGAGAGUGGCGAGCCUGUGAGGGUGAGCGAAUCUCGGAAAGCCGGUCUCAGUUCGGAUUGGGGUCUGCAACUCGACCUCAUGAAGUCGGAGUCGCUAGUAAUCGCAGAUCAGCAACGCUGCGGUGAAUACGUUCCCGGGGCUUGUACACACCGCCCGUCAAGUCAUGAAAGUUGGUAACACCCGAAGCCGGUGGCCUAACCGUUGUGGGGGAGCCGUCGAAGGUGGGACUGGUGAUUAGGACUAAGUCAUAAC
RNAcentral lists this ribosomal RNA (1445 nucleotides) under uncultured organism. Its description in RNAcentral is "16S ribosomal RNA". It matches the Rfam family "Bacterial small subunit ribosomal RNA". The record is from RNAcentral.